RNAcentral lists this long non-coding RNA (692 nucleotides) under Malus domestica (apple). Its description in RNAcentral is "long non-coding RNA (MDOM_LNC014650)". The record is from RNAcentral. Lineage: Eukaryota; Viridiplantae; Streptophyta; Magnoliopsida; Rosales; Rosaceae.
AUUAGAGAUAGAUCUGAUUUGGAAAUACAUGUUAAAUAUGUCGUUAGAAUUUGUUCUUAUGGUUUUUUAUUAGGACUUAAAAGUCAUUUUACAAAAAAAAUUAAACAUGUUUUUAAAAUUUUCAUAAAAAAAAAACAGGUGAGAAAAUAUGACAUGUGAGUUGCUUGAGCAGCACUCUUCAUUAAUCUAGUUGUCUGGACUAAUCCUGAAAUUAAGAUCAAUAAUCUAGCUAUUAGAAAAUUAGAAAUAAACACCACGUGGUAAGCUCAUGAGAUUCUACAGUAUCAUUAUUCCAUCGUGGUAGCGAAAUAGUUUUGCUUGUAGUCCUCAAAUUACUGUUUUAAUUACCUCAAGCUAUUUAUUUUAUUAACAAUUAAAAACCUGCAAGUCUUUCUAAUUACUUGUUCACCUUAACUUACAUAAUUUCACCAAGUCAAAACACUAAAAUAAUCUCGAUUGAGAAGAAAAAUCAAACUACAUACCUUCAGCUGUGUACAUCAAUAUAACUUUACAUAUGUGACAAGUAGUUUCUCAUCUUUGUCAGCCCCAUUACUUUUUUAUUUUUUUUAAAGAGAAUAACCGGUGAUUAAGUCAUCAUAAUUUUUUUUUUGAAUCAGAAAAACUCAUAGAAACAUUUUAGAAUUUCCUUAAUUAUCAUUGUGUGAUUCUAGUACUAAAAAUCAAAUUCAAAA